AUACGGAGGAUGCGAGCGUUAUCCGGAUUUAUUGGGUUUAAAGGGUACGCAGGCGGGCGAUUAAGUCAGCGGUGAAAGGCUCGGGCUCAACCGGAGCAGUGCCGUUGAUACUGGUUGUCUUGAAUGCGGUCAAGGCCGGCGGAAUGUGGCGUGUAGCGGUGAAAUGCAUAGAUAUGCCACAGAACACCGAUAGCGAAGGCAGCUGGCCGGGCCUGCAUUGACGCUGAGGCACGAAAGCGUGGGGAUCGAACAGGAUUAGAUACCCUGGUAGUCCACGCUGUAAACGAUGGACACUCGUUGUCGGCGACAGACAGUCGGCGGCCAAGCGAAAGUGAUAAGUGUCCCACCUGGGGAGUACGGUCGCAAGGCUGAAACUCAAAUGAAUUGGCGGGG
Molecule: ribosomal RNA, 393 nt
Filed under: uncultured bacterium
Lineage: Bacteria
Description: partial 16S ribosomal RNA
Rfam family: Bacterial small subunit ribosomal RNA
Source: RNAcentral